UGGGAAAACACUCAGUGGUGUAGACCGCCCA
RNAcentral lists this non-coding RNA (31 nucleotides) under Homo sapiens (human). The record is from RNAcentral. Lineage: Eukaryota; Metazoa; Chordata; Mammalia; Primates; Hominidae.